Molecule: ribosomal RNA, 1959 nt
Filed under: human gut metagenome
Description: bacterial LSU rRNA
Rfam family: Bacterial large subunit ribosomal RNA
Source: RNAcentral
GUGAACAAUUAAGGGCGCGCGGUGGAUGCCUAGGCUCUCGGAGGCGAUGAAGGACGCGAUAAGCCGCGAUAGGCCACGGCGAGGUGCAAGUAACCCUUGACCCGUGGAUUUCCGAAUGGGGCAACCCGGCCGUCUAGAUGACGGUCAUGCAGUAAUGCAAGCGAACGCGGGGAACUGAAACAUCUCAUUACCCGCAGGAGAAGAAAACAAAAUGUGAUUCCCCCAGUAGUGGCGAGCGAACGGGGAAGAGCCCAAACCGUUGCCGUUUCGGCGACAGCGGGGUCAUGGGACCGCGACAUUCGACGGAAGACGAAGUGCAAUUACCUGGAAAGGUAAGCCGUGGAGGGUGACAGCCCCGUGCACGACACCUCUUUCGAAGAUAGCGGGAUCCCGAGUAGGGCGGGACACGAGAAAUCCUGCCUGAAUUCGCCAGGACCGCCUGGCAAGGCUAAAUACUCCCGAGAGACCGAUAGUGAACCAGUACCGCGAGGGAAAGGUGAAAAGUACCCCGAGCAGGGGGGUGAAAUAGACCCUGAACCCGCGCGCCUACAAGCGGUCGGAGCCGGGUAAUCCGGUGACGGCGUGCCUUUUGCAUAAUGAGCCUACGAGUUAGUCGUCACCAGCGAGGUUAAGGGCUUCAGGCCCGUUAGCCGAAGUGAAAGCGAGCCUUAACAGGGCGUCGAGUUGGUGGCGCUAGACGCGAAACCUUGUGAUCUACCCACGAGCAGGUUGAAGUCGCGGUAACACGUGAUGGAGGACCGAACCGGUAAACGUUGAAAAGUUUUCGGAUGACUCGCGGGUAGGGGUGAAAGGCCAAUCAAACUUGGAGAUAGCUCGUACUCUCCGAAAUGCAUUUCGGUGCAGCCUGUGAUGUUCUGUUCCAGAGGUAGAGCUACUGGUUGGACGCGAGGGCUUCACCGCCUAUCAAAUCCGGAUAAACUCCGAAUGCUGGAACACGAAAUCAUGGAGUGAGCCCGCGGGUGCUAAGGUCCGCGGACGAGAGGGAAAGAACCCGGACCACCGGCUAAGGUCCCGGAUGGACAGUUAAGUUGAUCAAACGAGGUGGGAUCGCGGAGACAGCUAGGAUGUUGGCUUGGAAGCAGCCAUUCAUUUAAAGAGUGCGUAACAGCUCACUAGUCGAGCGAUCCCGCGUGGAUAAUACACGGGCAUCAAACUGUCAACCGAAGCCGUGGGGUUAGUGAUGAGCUAACCGGUAGGAGAGCAUUCCUGCCAGCUUUGAAGGUCACCCGCGAGAGUGACUGGAGCGGCAUGAAAAGCAAAUGUAGGCAUAAGUAACGAUAAUGGGGGCGAGAACCCCCCACGCCGCAAGACCAAGGAUUCCCCGGCAAUGUCAAUCAGCCGGGGGUCAGCCGGCCUCUAAGGCUCACCCGAAAGGGGAUGCCGACGAGAAACGGGUUAACAUUCCCGUGCUUCUCGUCACCGUGACGCGGUGACGGGGUGAUGAAUGGACCGCGCGCUGACGGAAUAGCGCGUUGAAGGCCGUACCCUUUGAGGGUGGUAGUCAAGCACGCCACCCGAGGCGAAAGUCGAUAGUACCUCGAGGCCUCGGCCGAGGGGAUAGCGUCCAGGCAAUUUACCCCCUAGAAAACCCGCUAAACUUCAAGUGACGAGGAACCGUACUGUAAACGGACACACGUGGUCGGGUAGAAUAUACUAAGGCGCUCGAGUGAUUCAUGGUCAAGGAACUAGGCAAAAUAGUCCUGUAACUUCGGGAAAAAGGACGCUCUAGUGAUAGAGCCGCAGAGUAAUGGCCCAGGCGACUGUUUACCAAAAACACAUGGCUAUGCCAAAUCGAAAGAUGACGUAUAUGGCCUGACACCUGCCCGGUGCCGGAAGGUUAAGAGGAGAGCUCAUCGGAAACGAGAAGGUUUGAAUUGAAGCCCCGGUAAACGGCGGCCGUAACUAUAACGGUCCUAAGGUAGCGAAAUUCCUUGUCGG